This is a non-coding RNA of Macrostomum lignano, 70 nucleotides long. The record is from Rfam. Lineage: Eukaryota; Metazoa; Platyhelminthes; Macrostomidae.
GUGGUUGUAGCUUAGUGGAUAGAGCGUCGGACUCGCGACUUGAAGGUCGGAGGUUCGAUUCCCAAUCCCA